GCAAGCUGGACAGCCGCGGACCCAGGCCGAAAGGCCGGGCCUGAGGAAAGUCCGGGCUCCACAGGGCAAGGAUAACGGGUAACACCCGCCGGGGGCGACCCUAGGAAAAGGGCAACAGAAAUAAACCGCCGUUCCGGCUCGCCGGGGCGGUAAGGAUGGAAAGGCGAGGUAAGAGCUCACCCGAUGACGUGGAAGCGCUCAUCGCUGUAACCUCUAUCCGGAGCAACGCCGUGGAAACGCAUGAGGCCGGCCCGGCCGCGUUUGGGAGGCGGCUUGAGCGUACCGGCAACGGUGCGCCUAGAUAGAUGGCUGUCUUAAAGGACAGAACCCGGCUUACAGGCUUACUUG
This 348-nucleotide RNase P RNA is filed under the name chicken gut metagenome. RNAcentral's name for it is "Bacterial RNase P class A". It matches the Rfam family "Bacterial RNase P class A". From Rfam's summary of the family: Ribonuclease P (RNase P) is a ubiquitous endoribonuclease, found in archaea, bacteria and eukarya as well as chloroplasts and mitochondria. Its best characterised activity is the generation of mature 5'-ends of tRNAs by cleaving the 5'-leader elements of precursor-tRNAs. The record is from RNAcentral.